AUGAACGCUAGCGGCAGGCCUAAUACAUGCAAGUCGGACGGGAUUCAGGAGCUUGCUUCUGAUGAGAGUGGCGCACGGGUGCGUAACACGUAUGUAACCUACCUUUAUCAGGGGGAUAGCCUCUCGAAAGAGAGAUUAAGCCCGCAUAAAAUCACAGCACAGCAUUGUGUAAUGAUCAAAUAUUUAUAGGAUAAAGAUGGGCAUGCGGAACAUUAGCUAGAUGGCGGGGUAACGGCCCACCAUGGCGACGAUGUUUAGGGGAUCUGAGAGGAUGGCCCCCCACACUGGUACUGAGACACGGACCAGACUCCUACGGGAGGUAGCAGUAAGGAAUAUUGAUCAAUGGGCGGAAGCCUGAACCAGCCAUGCCGCGUGCAGGAAGACGGCCCUACGGGUUGUAAACUGCUUUUAUACGGGAAUAAACCCAGAUACGUGUAUCUGGCUGAAUGUACUGUAAGAAUAAGGAUCGGCUAACUCCGUG
Molecule: ribosomal RNA, 481 nt
Filed under: uncultured bacterium
Lineage: Bacteria
Description: partial 16S ribosomal RNA
Rfam family: Bacterial small subunit ribosomal RNA
Source: RNAcentral